Unclassified non-coding RNA from Monodelphis domestica (gray short-tailed opossum), 288 nucleotides. It matches the Rfam family "Metazoan signal recognition particle RNA". From Rfam's summary of the family: The signal recognition particle (SRP) is a universally conserved ribonucleoprotein. The record is from Ensembl. NCBI's taxonomy places the organism in Eukaryota, Metazoa, Chordata, Mammalia, Didelphimorphia, Didelphidae.
UCCAUGGUGGCGCGCACCUAGCUACUUGGGAGGCUGAGGCUGGAGGAUCACUGUAGCCUAGGAGUUCUAGGCUGCUGUGUGCUAUGCCGAUCGGGUGUCCACAGUAAGUUUAGUAUCAAUAUGGUGACCCCCUGGGAACGGGGGACCACCAGGUUGCCUAAGGAGGGGUGAACCGGCCCAGGUCGGAAACGGAGCAAGUCAAAACUCCCGUGCCAAUCAGUAGUGGGAUCGUGCCUGUGAAUAGCCACUGUACUCCAGCCUGGGCAAUAUAGUGAGACGCGGUCUCUC